This 1631-nucleotide long non-coding RNA is filed under the name Salmo salar (Atlantic salmon). Its description in RNAcentral is "lncRNA (ENSSSAG00000096064.1)". The record is from RNAcentral. Lineage: Eukaryota; Metazoa; Chordata; Actinopteri; Salmoniformes; Salmonidae.
GGAAGCGACCACAGCAGUGAGAAGAGCUCGUCUCAGCGGCCGGAGCGAGAGAGGAGAGAAGGAGAGAGGACUGGGGAUAGAGGGAGCGACCACAGCAGUGAGAAGAGCUCGUCUCAGCGUCCGGAGAGGGAGAGGAGAGAGAGAGAAGGAGAGAGGACUGGAGAGAGAGGGAGCGACCACAGCAGUGAGAAGAGCUCGUCUCAGCGGCCGGAGCGAGAGAGGAGAGAAGGAGAGAGGACUGGGGAUAGAGGGAGCGACCACAGCAGUGAGAAGAGCUCGUCUCAGCGGCCGGAGCGAGAGAGGAGAGAAGGAGAGAGGACUGGGGAUAGAGGGAGCGACCACAGCAGUGAGAAGAGCUCGUCUCAGCGGCCGGAGCGAGAGAGGAGAGAAGGAGAGAGGACUGGAGAGAGAGGAAGCGACCACAGCAGUGAGAAGAGCUCGUCUCAGCGGCCGGAGCGAGAGAGGAGAGAAGGAGAGAGGACUGGAGAGAGAGGGAGCGACCACAGCAGUGAGAAGAGCUCGUCUCAGCGGCCGGAGCGAGAGAGGAGAGAAGGAGAGAGGACUGGAGAGAGAGGGAGCGACCACAGCAGUGAGAAGAGCUCGUCUUCCUCCUCACACUCUCACUCACGGGAUCGUAAACCUUUAUCUUCUUCCAGGGACCACAAAGCAACUUCUGACCGUAGACCACCGGACCCCAGAGCCAGGGAGCACAGAGACCACCUCCACCACAAACAUGAAGACAACAACGACCAGAUCUCAUCCACCGUUGGCCGUAACACCGACUCUACUGACCGUAGACCACCGGGAGACCACCGGGAGACCACCGGGGAGCUAGGCGGUGCCUCGCCCGUCUCCAAGAGCGACCAACCCCCAUCUGACCCUUCCUCUUCCUCCUCCUCCUCCACUCAGAGAUCUCAGGGAGGGUCUGAGCCCACCAGACCCAGCGAGAGCAGCCCUGGCAGGGACACGACGCAGGAUAUAUACGGCUCCAUGGAGAACCAGCCCGGGAGGGGAAAGGCUGAGGGAGAAGAGCCCAGAGCAGAGAGCUUCUCGGCGGGGAGACAGAGCCAGCAGGCCAGCCUAGGAACCCUAGAGAAGGAGACGAGUGGUGGAAAGCCCCAACAACACCCGGCCUCACUCCUACAGCCCCCAGGACUGACAACAGGGCAGGGGUGCCCCGAGCUGUCAGAGAGAGAGAGAGAAAGAAAGAGAGAGAGUGGCAGAUACAAAAGAUGAGGGAGAAGAUGGAGAAGGAGAGAGAGAAAGGGGUGGAUAGGGAGAAGGAGAGAGAGAAGGGGGUGGAUAGGGAGAAGGAGAGAGAGAAAGGGGUGGCUAGGGAGAAGGAGAAAGGGGUGGAUAGGGAGAAGGAGAGAGAGAAAGGGGUGGAUAGGGAGAAGGAGAGAGAGAAGGGGCACCCUAAAGCCAGACCUCCUCCCUCGGUCCAUUCUUCCAAACCUUCCACGUUCCAUUCUUCCAAACCUCCUCCCUCGGUCCCUUCUUCUAGACCUCCUUCUGACCUGGUCAGAGAGACAGAUGAGGCAGCCUUCGAACCGGACUACAGCGAGGGAGAGAUCUCAGAGGGGGAGGAGGAGGAAGGAGAGAAAAAAGUGGGCGGACAGCGAGCGGUGGAG